CUUUUAUAUAUACAUAUAAUAUUAGUUAAGACAAAUUAAAAAAAUACUUUAAAUUAUUAUUGAUAAGUCUGCAUUAACAUUUGAUUGUCAGCAUAUAUAUUAUUUACCGACCGUCCCUAAAGCAAGUGGCAAAGGAUUUGGUGAUUGGUAUCCGAGAUCACCUAAAUUCGAAUCUUAGUUGAUUCACAUUUCUUGCUAAGUUUAUUUCUAAAUGAAAUAAACGAAG
This 226-nucleotide long non-coding RNA is filed under the name Ananas comosus (pineapple). RNAcentral describes it as "long non-coding RNA (ACOM_LNC004632)". Lineage: Eukaryota; Viridiplantae; Streptophyta; Magnoliopsida; Poales; Bromeliaceae. The record is from RNAcentral.